This 110-nucleotide ribosomal RNA is filed under the name Pogona vitticeps (central bearded dragon). The record is from RNAcentral. Lineage: Eukaryota; Metazoa; Chordata; Lepidosauria; Squamata; Agamidae.
UCCUCUAAAUAAACCAACCUUGGGUCUCAUCAGCUUUGGGAAGCUCAGCAGGGUUAGUCCUGGUUAACAUCUGGAUGGGAGACCACCAGGGAAUACCAAGGGUGUAGGAA